AUGGCCAAGCAACGACAGAGCAGCGCCGGCGCCGGCAACGUCGCCUCUGACGCCGUCCGGCCGAAGUCGGAGCGGGCGCGGAGGAGCGUGACGCGGCGGCGCCCCUCGCAACGCACCUCCGCGUACCGCGGCGUCACACGGCACCGGUGGACGGGGCGGUUCGAGGCGCACCCGUUGGACAAGAACACCUGGACCGAGCCGCAAAGGAAGAAGAAAGGGAGGCAGGUUUAUCUCGGGGCGUACGGCGGCGAGGAAGCGGCGGCGCGCGCCUACGACCUGGCGGCGUCCUCAACUUGUCGGUACCGCAUCCAACUGUCUAGCUACGACCAAGAGCUGAAAGAAAUGGAGGAGCAGUCCAGGGAGGAGUACAUCGGCUCGCUCCGGAGGAAAAGCACUGGCUUCUCAAGAGGGGUGUCCAAGUACAGAGGCGUCGCAAGGCAUCACCACAACGGCAAAUGGGAGGCUAGGAUUGGGCGCGUGUUUGGCAACAAGUAUCUCUACCUAGGAACCUACGUGACACAGGAGGAGGCAGCCAUGGCGUACGACAUCGCCGCCAUUGAGCACCGCGGCCUCAACGGUGUGACCAACUUCGACGUCAGUCGCUACAUCAAGUGGCACCACUGCUGCCACGCCGACGACGCGGGUGGUCUCAACACCACUCUCUGUGUAAAUGAUCGGUUGCAACCGUCCCAGGCGAGUCCAACGUCUCAUGCGGUGUCGUCGCUUGGCCCGCUGCUGCAAUCGCCCAGAUUGAAGGAGAUGAUGGAGCGGGUGGCGGCCUCCCAGUCCCAGAGCAACACCAACUCGCCGUCUUCAUCCUCGUGUCCCCCCUCACCGCCACCGACGACCCACCAACACGAGCCAAGGCCUAGAAAUUCGUCAACGCGGUGCAGCUUUCCGGACGACGUGCAGACAUAUUUCGGGUGCGAUGAUGAGGAGGGCAUGAGCGGCUACGCGGAGGUUGACACGUUCUUAUUUGGGGACCUGGGCGUGUGCGCCGAGCUGGGCCUUUGA
RNAcentral lists this ribosomal RNA (1014 nucleotides) under Triticum aestivum (bread wheat). Its description in RNAcentral is "partial small subunit ribosomal RNA". Lineage: Eukaryota; Viridiplantae; Streptophyta; Magnoliopsida; Poales; Poaceae. The record is from RNAcentral.